UGGGGAAUAUUGGACAAUGGGGGGAACCCUGAUCCAGCAAUGCCGCGUGUGUGAAGAAGGCCUGAGGGUUGUAAAGCACUUUCAGAGGGGAGGAGGACUAUUAGGUUAAGAGCUAGAUAGUUGGACGUUACCCUCAGAAGCAGCACCGGCUAACUCUGUGCCAGCAGCCGCGGUAAUACAGAGGGUGCGAGCGUUAAUCGGAAUUACUGGGCGUAAAGGGCGUGUAGGUGGAUUUGUAAGUUUGAUGUGAAAGCCCCGGGCUUAACCUGGGAAUGGCGUUGAAGACUGCAAGACUAGAGUUGGACAGAGGGUAGUGGAAUUUCCGGUGUAGCGAUGAAAUGCGUAGAGAUCGGAAAGAACACCCGUGGCGAAGGCGGCUAUCUGGACGACAACUGACGCUGAGGCGCGAAAGCGUGGGGAUCAAACAGGAUUAGAUACCCCAGUAGUCCCUGAGCGGGCUGGCAAGGCGCAU
This 472-nucleotide ribosomal RNA is filed under the name uncultured bacterium. RNAcentral's name for it is "bacterial SSU rRNA". It matches the Rfam family "Bacterial small subunit ribosomal RNA", at positions 355 to 825 of the family's 1533-position model. The record is from RNAcentral.